This 21-nucleotide microRNA is filed under the name Haemonchus contortus (barber pole worm). RNAcentral's name for it is "hco-miR-5919". Lineage: Eukaryota; Metazoa; Nematoda; Chromadorea; Rhabditida; Trichostrongylidae. The record is from miRBase by way of RNAcentral.
GUUUGGUUGCCGUUUUGAGGU